GGGUCCUUCAAGUCACGCGCCU
This 22-nucleotide non-coding RNA is filed under the name Arabidopsis thaliana (thale cress). The record is from RNAcentral. Lineage: Eukaryota; Viridiplantae; Streptophyta; Magnoliopsida; Brassicales; Brassicaceae.